This 406-nucleotide ribosomal RNA is filed under the name uncultured bacterium. Its description in RNAcentral is "partial 16S ribosomal RNA". It matches the Rfam family "Bacterial small subunit ribosomal RNA", at positions 30 to 526 of the family's 1533-position model. The record is from RNAcentral.
AUUGAACGCUGGCGGCAGGCCUAACACAUGCAAGUCGAACGAGUGGCGGACGGGUGAGUAAUGUCUGGAAAACUGCCUGAGGGAGGGGGAUAACUACUGGAAACGGUCUCUAAUACCGCAUACCCACGGGUGUGCCCAGAUGGGAUUCGCUAGUAGGUGGGGUAAAGGCUCACCUAGGCGACGAUCACUAGCUGGUCUGAGAGUAUGACCAGCCACACUGGAACUGAGACACGGGCCAGACUCCUACGGGAGGCAGCAGUGGGGAAUAUUGCACAAUGGGCGCAAGCCUGAUGCAGCCAUGCCGCGUGUGUGAAGAAGGCCUUCGGGUUGUAAAGUACUUUCAGCGGGGAGGCGUGACCCGCAGAAGAAGCACCGGCUAACUCCGUGCCAGCAGCCGCGGUAAUUC